CCUCCCUGUGGCACCUGCUCUUGCUGGCCCCAGAUGUGUUUCAGGACAACAUGCAGCUGCGAGACAUAAUUGAUUUCCUUCAGAAUCCAAGCAGUGUUGUGCUGGGAGCUCAGAAUGUCUCUGCAUCUCUUGCGGGUGAUGAGAGAUUCAAAACUGUUCAGAAUGGGGUUACAGAUUCUCCACUUCCCCUGAACUGCUUGGAGCAAGAUAAAGAAAGGAGUUGGGUGACCAGAUCUAUUUGUAAUUCCUUUGUUCACUGGGAAGACAAUCACACUUUAGUAUCUGAAUUGGAAGAAGUUCUAAGAAAAAUAAAGUCACCAGAGAUUGGUGGAAAGCACUCCAAGAGGUCCAUUAAUUCAGAUGAUUUAGAAGCCAUACAAAAGCAUCUACAUCGUUUAAAAGGCUUUGAGGAAAAAAUGAAUAGAAGUGAAUUAAAAAGCUUAAAUCUAUUCAGAAAUUUGAAGAAUGAAACAUUACAGAAAUUGUAUGCAUUUCUUGAACUGGGAAUGAAUCCACACCAUGAUUAUAAAUUAAAGGAACCAUAUAAUAAGGAAAUAAUUGAUGAAAUCUAUAACUUCACAUCACUGCAAUUACAGAGUGACUUUAAUGGGACUUCCAUUUUCAAUACAGUGACCCAGUGGAAAGAAAUUCAGAGGGCUUUAAAAUUAGCUACAAUGCUUUGGAAUCCAGCUCUCCUAAAUAAUUCCAAUUUUAGUACAUUGAAAACUAAGGAUGCUCUCAAAAUAUUGCUCUCCACAAGCAUGCCAUCACUUCUGGAAGGUCUCAGGGACCAUUUGAGUGGAUUGCAAGAAAUCCCAUCUGUGUUUUCUGAUGAUCUGCUUGAGCCUGAGUCCUACAGAAACUUCCCAGAGCAGCUCCUAGCUCUCGAGGAGAUCUUCUUUAGAAUGAUGGGCACAAAUGUAGGUUAUCAGUACCUCCUGCUGCCUGUGUUUGAGCUGAUGAGGGCCGUAGAGAAGUCCAUGGGUGAGGCCUGGUGGGAUGAGUUGAAUGUCUACUGGCGCCUUGGGGAGAAGCUGAGAUCCAUGAGGUGGAAUAACACAGCCAUCGUCGCCUAUGGGCAGUUCUUGGAGGUGUUAAACAGCCAUUUGCAAAAGCUGCAUAAUAAAUCAAGUGGUGUCUUCAGUGAAGAGUUGGAUCAGCUGUCAGAGUUCAUAACAGCUGUGUUUAAAGAGUUUGGGGAAAGCUCUGGAGUAGCCAAUAUCUCACAAGUCACUCAAGCCAUCCAGAAGACGUUGUACAUCUUAAAAGACUUACAGCUGAAUUAUAAUGUCAGUACAUUAAAAUCUAUAGAUCUUUUCUUUAAUUUUAACAAUAAAACCUUGGAGAGCUUGUCUGAACUUCUGAGAACAGGAAUGAAAAUCCUUCAUUAUUCAAGUGCCAGGGAAGGUUUCAGUGAAGACAUAAUUAACCCCAUCUACAAUUUAACACAUCUUCUACUGCAGGAGUUCAGCCAGUCUCCCUCACAGCACAAUUCCUCACUACAGGCCAAAAUUUGGGAGUUCUUGCGAUCAGCCUUGAGUCCUUUCCUUGAGCACAGCAGCAAUGGUUAUAGAACAUUCCAGAACUGCUCCUUUGAAGAUCUGCUUGACAUAGGCCUCGAGGUGCUGUUUGAAAAUGCCACUCUAAGGGAGUCCUCAGGCAGGAGCCCCUGCAAGCCCCUCUUGGAGUCCUUGGGCAUGGAGGGUGGGACAGGGAGCAAUGAGACCUUUAGCAGGGUGUUCCAGCUGGCCAUCAGNNNNNNNNNNNNNNNNNNNNGGAGCUGUUGUGCCUCACCCGAGCUCUGCGUUUGUCCCUGGGUUUCCUCUCCAAGUUAAACCUUGUCUCAGAGCUGGGAAACUCAUGGCUCCAGGAGAAGGUGAGAGCUCUGAGUGCAGCCACAGAGGGGUUGGUGCAGGGUGAUGCCUCGUGCCCCGUGCCAGCCCAGGAUGUGGGUGAUGUGU
This 1961-nucleotide long non-coding RNA is filed under the name Serinus canaria (Common canary). Its description in RNAcentral is "lncRNA (ENSSCAG00000004530.1)". Lineage: Eukaryota; Metazoa; Chordata; Aves; Passeriformes; Fringillidae. The record is from RNAcentral.